RNAcentral lists this long non-coding RNA (783 nucleotides) under Ananas comosus (pineapple). RNAcentral's name for it is "long non-coding RNA (ACOM_LNC041088)". The record is from RNAcentral. Lineage: Eukaryota; Viridiplantae; Streptophyta; Magnoliopsida; Poales; Bromeliaceae.
AUAUCAAAUUUAUCCAUCUAUUUUAUAUUAAAAUUUAAAUUUAAUAUUGUAGAUAUUUUCUAAUAAAAUGUAACAUAUAAAUUUAGAAAAUAUUUUAUUCUAAAUUUUUGAAUAAAUAUGAUUUACAAAUAUUUAUUGAUUUAAAAUAAAUUAAAAUAAUUGUUACGUGCAGUUGCACGUACGUUCAACUAGUCUAUACUAUAUAACAAAGCACGUAUUUCAAAUUUCGGUCUAUCGAUAGACCCAUUUUUUUGCGAGAAUUGAAAAAAAAAAUUGAUUCCUCUUUUGUUACAUAAAAUAAAUAACAGAAUUGAACAAACUUUUAAUUCCUCUUUAUUUCUACAACAGAAAAAAAUUUUAUGCUUAUCUAAAUUUUUGCCUACAACAGAAAAAAAAAUUAUGCUUAUCUAAAUUUUUACCAACCAAAAAAUAUCUACUAUAAAUCUAUAUUUUAAGGGCUUUUUUGCAAAUAGCCCCCUAAUAAAUUUUAUUUGUAAAAAUAGCCCUGUCUAAAAUUUAUUUGCAAAAAUGGCCCUGGCCCUGCCACGCCAGCGCCACGUCAGCGUCACGCGGGCAGGGCCUGGGCCAGGUAGUCAAGUUGAACACGGUGAUUCGUUUACCGUGUAUAAACACGGUGAACCAAUCACCGUGUUCACAGUGUUACUCACGCCCCGCCGGGAUUUAGUUUGCAUUAGACACGGUGAUUCGUUCACCGUGUCUAAACACGGUGAACUGUUCACCGCGUUUAGACACGGUGAACCAUUUACCGUGUCCUUCACUUCC